Molecule: ribosomal RNA, 468 nt
Filed under: uncultured bacterium
Lineage: Bacteria
Description: partial 16S ribosomal RNA
Rfam family: Bacterial small subunit ribosomal RNA
Source: RNAcentral
GACGAACGCUGGCGGCGUGCUUAACACAUGCAAGUCGAACGGAAAGGCCAUGCUUUUGUGGGGCGCUCGAGUGGCGAACGGGUGUGUAAAACGUGUGUAACCUGCCCUUGACUUUGGGAUAACUUCAGGAAACUGGGGCUAAUAUCGGAUAGGAGCUCUUGCUGCAUGGUGGGGGAUGGAAAGAUUCGGCGGUUGGGGAUGGACUAGCGGCUUAUCAGCUUGUUGGUGGGGUAGUGGAUUACCAAGGCUUUGACGGGUAGCCGGCCUUGGAAGGUGACCGGGAAAAGUGGGACGAAGAGACGGCGCAGUGUCCUACUGUGGGCAGCAGUGGGGAAUAUUACACAACGGGCGGAAGCCGGAUGCAACGGCGCCACGUGCGGGAUGACGGGCUUCUGGUGAUGAACAGCUGUCGCCGUAGACAAAGCGUGAGUGACGGUAAUGGGUAAAAAAGCACCGGCUAACUACGUG